This is a long non-coding RNA of Pogoniulus pusillus (Red-fronted tinkerbird), 4256 nucleotides long. RefSeq lists it as uncharacterized. The record is from RefSeq and is a predicted model, not a curated record. Lineage: Eukaryota; Metazoa; Chordata; Aves; Piciformes; Lybiidae. The transcript is spliced from 7 exons.
UCAGAACAGUGUCCUCCUGUUAGAAACCACUGAACAUGGAAAGCAGUUAAAAUAGUCUGGUGUAUGGAUUAAUUGCCUGCAUUUGAAGAAAAACUUCUGAUUGCUAAAAAGCUACUGCCUCUUUGUAGGACAUGUGAAUAAAGUCAAAGAGCUGUGUGGCAUUGGCAGCAUUGCCCAAAAUUUUGUGGCAGAUAAACUUACUGGAAUUCAACCAGAGUGGACCAAGAUUUCAGUCAGCCACUCAAUAAAAAGACAAAGACAUCUCCUAACCCUUGAUUGUGUGGCUGCAUCUGAUUUGCCUGAAGUGUGGGAACACGAUGCUGCUGGUAGAUACAACACAUGCUGAUUAGGCAAUUAAAAAAAUAAAUUGGACAAAUAACCCAGUAAUUCUCCUCAUGCAAUAAACCUUAUGAGUUCUGCCAUUUGUAUCUUCACUAGAGUCCUUACCUGGCUAUCAGUUUCUGAAUUGUUGAUCUUCAGGAUGACCCGACAUCAUGAAAUAUGAAAGUUAAUUAAAUCUAAAAUGAUGAAGCUUAUUGUGUAAAAAUUGCACCUACAGAGAUGGUUUAAAAUGAGACUAGAGCACCUCAAAGUAGACCUAUUGACACUAAGAUCAUCUAAGCAGAGGCCUUGUAGAGUGAUCUUCCCCUAAGGUCUCCAGGUAUGUUACUGCUGUUAAGGGACUAAAUACCUGCUGGGAGGUAAAAAUUAUCUCUGGGCUACCUCAGACAGUAUGCUUUUGUUUAAAAUUAAGAGGGCUGGAUUAAAAGGUAUCAAAAAAAGAAAAAAAAUCAGGAGAUGUGUCUUCUGCCUUGACUUUAAAUUACCCUGACCAAAUCAACUUACCUCAAAGGUUUCCCAGGCCUGCUUGCCUUGUAGAUUUCCAGCUGCCGAACAAAAGUUAGUUCUGCAUCAUAUAACACAACAUAUCUUGGUUCUACUUCGUGCAGGACCCGAGUGAGUGCAUAGGGAUCACUGCACCCCUGCAAUGGAUGGAUAAUUGUGAGUGGGUUCUUGAAAAUCCCAUAGUAACAGUCUGAGGGCAAGUUUACAUGGAAAUCUUCAGGAAUGGUCUCUUCAGCACUGCUGUCUUGGCUACUGCUUAAUUCUUUGUUAUCUUCCACCUCUAAAUCCUCUUUCUUUUCCUCCUCGGUUUUCCCUAUCAUUUCAGUUAUAGUCCGGUCUUGCUGCUUCUUGUGUUUAUUUUGUUUUGAAGAAGCUGUGAGUUUGGCUUUUUUAGUUUGAGCCCCUGUGUCUAGUCUGGCAUUUCCUUUCGACUUGACAGCUUUUCUGUCCUUAACCAACACUUCUGCAGCUUUCUCAUCCUUUCCAAAGGUUUGGUUAUACAGUCUUGUUAAAAACGCUUCUGCUCCGGCAAUAAUACACUCCCUGAGCUGUGCGCAAGCUCGAUCAUCACUGGCACAAAUAAGCACUUGCCCUGCAGUCAAGAAACAACACCACGUUUACAAUCUGUUGCACUGUACUUCUUAUACAGCUACAAGACAUCUCUUGAGCAAAUUGUUUUCAAUAAUACUAGAAGCAUGCCUGCCAAAUGUUUUUACAUUUUCUUGUCAUAGUUUCGGUGGACUUUCAGGGAGUCUGAAUUGUAUGAUGUUUUGUACCAAACAAGGUUAGAGAAGGAUAAUGGAAGUUCAUCAUUCCUUAUUCUUACACUGUAUAAAUUAGUGAGGUUUUCCUGUUGACCAUCUGAAAUGAGGCAGAUUUAGCACAUGCUAGGAAAACUGAGUUUUUUUUGAAAUGUGAAAUUAGACAGAAAUUAAUGUAGAGUAUUCUAAUUUUCAGCAUUUUUUAGCUGUGUUAAAGAGUCUAAAAAAAUACACAGUAUUAUUGACAUUUGUGGGCCUUUAACAGCAAUUCUCCACAGCUGACUCAGAUAAACUCCUACAACACUAGGUGAAAGAGACAGUUCUUACCCAGUCAGAACACCGUGGGUGGGAGAAAAGAGUACUUUUUUACCAUUACUAUUUCCUAAAAUAAAACUUGGCAAAAUUUAAGGGGAUGAAAAGUCUUAAAACAGGAAAGGCAGCAAAAUGCAUAGAAAUAAACUUGCCUUCUACUGUCUACCCUAUUUAGGUGCAUUUCCUGGAGAACCAAAAUUUUCAGGUGCACAAGAGCAAUGUGUGAGAUGGAAACAGCAUAAAACAAAACUCCCAUCUUUUUUAAACCUUCACUUGAGCAAUGAUUGGAUGGUACCUUGAUUAUAAAUUAGCACAUUACUAAUAUUAUUGGGUUUGAGACCAAGGUAUCUGUACAAUAUUGAAAUCUAAGUAAAAAUGUGUAUUCAUUAGACAUUCUUUCCUUAACAGUAUUGCAUAGUAACCAGCAGCAUUUCUCUUUCAGAGCAAGAACAAAAUCAGAGUUUAUGUAGAACUACUUUGUUUUUACAUAGGUGAUGUACAUACGUACAUAACCUUGAUUUAAGUCCACAAAUUAUUCAACUUAAAACUAGGUCUUUAACAAAACUACAAUCUCUACUACAGUAAAGAGUUGGUUUCCAUCUCUCAAAAGUCAAGAAGUAAAAAAUAACUACACUGUGGAAAUUUACAUAGUUUAGAAUUCUCUUACCUGGACCACCAAGGUCUUCACUGUUGUUAUUCUCAUUUUCAAUUUCUUUCAGUACUUCUCUCAAAGCUUCCCAUUUUGGGUUACUUUCUAGAACCAGUUCUUUUUUCAGUUCUGAAACAAAGAGAAAUUGAAUGUAGCAACUCUUACAGCCAAAAUAUCCUUCAACACUUUAUAGUAGUGGUUAAAUGUCAAUAGCAUGAUGGAUACUGGCAAAUACAGUAUUCAAUAGCAUACAUAGGCAGCUUGCUAUGUUAAUGGGCUGGAGAGCACUCUUACAGAAACAUUUAAAAAUGGGGAUAAGUGCUCUGACGAAGCAGAAAGUUGAAAAUGUUAACUCAUACUUCAAUUCUCAAACUUCUGAAUAUACAUGGUUUUAAUAAAAGCACUGGUACUCCCCUACUUGCUCACAUAAAAUAAAAAAGAUCUAGCUAAUAAUCAACAUAAUUCAAGAAAAAUUCAACAGAAGCUCUCCCAAUGAACAGCUGAGCAAGCUUAGAACCACUCCUUACUUCUUCAUGACUCUAUCUAGACUUCCACAUUGUUUAUCAUAUGCUUGUUGAACUAGAUUAUGUCUCAACUUAAUCCAGCUAACAGACUGGGCUGUGCAAGAUCACAUAGGAAACCAGAGCAGAAGUAAUAAUAUGCAGAGCAUUUGAAAUCGUGUGACACUCUCAGACUUAAAAUUAGGAACGUGACUCCAGAAGAUGAAGGAAAGUGACACAAUCAUACUGAGUUAGAUACAGUAGCAAAGUGCGUAGUAUCUUCAAAUCCUGGACCAAAGAUUUUGUCUUAGCUCCAAGUUGAUGCCAGAGAGGAUCUAAAUAGUGACGUAUUGUCUAGAAAUACAAAUUGGAAAGUUCAAGAUGUCAAAUCGAUAGUAUACUAACCAAGAUAAGAAGGCAUGUUUUUUUUUUCCUAUACAGGAAAUGCCACUACUUAACUAAAGUUACUAAGCAUACCCAAUUAAAUAUGUGAUGGGGAGGUAUUUGUUUUGAGAAGUAAGGUUUUUACUAAGUUAGCAUAAUUUAGAUGCCUUGCAUUGUGCUUUAAGUAUAUAGUUUCCUUUCCAUGUAAUAACAAAAUACUAGCAAAAUUUAAAAGCAGAUAAUACAUUACUGGUAAUGGCCUGUGCCUUUAAUAUCUAGCAUCCUUUACUCAGGUAAGGUAAAAGCCAUUAUCACGUCAUAUGAUUUUUAAAAUGAGUACCAUACAAAUACGCAACCUACAGCACACAAAGGGAAAAAAGCCUCCAAGAAUUUAAAGUACAGAAGGCCUCUCUCCAAGAUGAAAUCACAGGUUAAGAAGUAAGCAUAUUUCACUAUGAUGGUUGAAGUUUAUGAUUUUACUCUGCAGAAAGGAUAUGUAUGUCAAACACUGCCAAUCUGCCAAAAGUAACACUGCACAAUUAAUGGCAUUUAUAAUGACAUAAGAUAUAAGAUACAGCAGAUGCAUGUCUGUGAAUAUAAUGCAAUCUAUAUGGUGCUCCUUCUAAUAGACAAAAAAAAAUACAAGCAGGAAAUGUGUGUGUCUCUGCAUAUAAAGAGCUAUAUAUUCAUGUCAAAAAUAGUUUGAGUUGAAAUUACAACCAUCUUCAUCAUUGUAAUGUCCAACCAUGAAUCAGGAUGUUCUUACUGUAGAGACUUUAGAAAUAAAUGAGGAACAAACUGUAA